This 433-nucleotide ribosomal RNA is filed under the name uncultured bacterium. RNAcentral describes it as "partial 16S ribosomal RNA". It matches the Rfam family "Bacterial small subunit ribosomal RNA", at positions 29 to 507 of the family's 1533-position model. The record is from RNAcentral.
AGCGAACGCUGGCGGCAGGCCUAACACAUGCAAGUCGAACGAACUCUUCGGAGUUAGUGGCGGUCUGGUGAGUAACACGGGGGAACGUGCCAUUUGGUUCGGAAUAACUCAGUGAAAGGGGUGCUCAUACCGAAAGGGCCCUUCAGAGGGAAGAUUUAUCGCAAUUAAGGCGGCCCGCGCCUGGUUACCUGGGUGGUGAGGUAACGGCUCACCAAGGCGACGACCAGUAGAGGGUCCGAGAGGAUGACUCGACACACUGAGACUGGGCCACGGCCCCGACUACUACGGGAGGGAGGAGUGGGUGAUGUUGCGAAAUGGGCUAAAGCCUGACGCACCCAUGCCGCGUGAAUGCUGACGGCCUUAGGAAUGUAAAAUUCUUUCACCGCUGACGAUAAUGACGGUACCCGGAGAAGAAGCCCCGGCUAACUUCGUG